GUCAGGAUGGCCGAGUGGUCUAAGGCGCCAGACUCAAGCUAUGCUUCCCGCGAACGGGCAUUCUGGUCUCCGUAUGGAGGCGUGGGUUCGAAUCCCACUUCUGACA
Molecule: transfer RNA, 106 nt
Filed under: Fukomys damarensis (Damara mole-rat)
Lineage: Eukaryota; Metazoa; Chordata; Mammalia; Rodentia; Bathyergidae
Rfam family: tRNA
About the family: Transfer RNA (tRNA) molecules are approximately 80 nucleotides in length. Their secondary structure includes four short double-helical elements and three loops (D, anti-codon, and T loops).
Source: Rfam by way of RNAcentral